GACAGAGGGUGCAAACGUUGUUCGGAAUUACUGGGCGUAAAGCGUGUGUAGGCGGUCCACUAAGUCGGGUGUGAAAGCCCUGGGCUCAACCCAGGAAGUGCACUCGAAACUGGCGGGCUAGAGUAUCGGAGAGGUUGGUGGAAUUCCGGGUGUAGCGGUGAAAUGCGUAGAUAUCUGGAGGAACACCGGUGGCGAAGGCGGCAUCCUGGACCGGUAUUGACGCUGAUGCGCGAAAGCCAGGGGAGCAAACGGG
RNAcentral lists this ribosomal RNA (253 nucleotides) under uncultured bacterium. RNAcentral's name for it is "partial 16S ribosomal RNA". It matches the Rfam family "Bacterial small subunit ribosomal RNA", at positions 524 to 776 of the family's 1533-position model. The record is from RNAcentral.